RNAcentral lists this small nucleolar RNA (98 nucleotides) under Delphinapterus leucas (beluga whale). Its description in RNAcentral is "Small nucleolar RNA SNORD116 (ENSDLEG00000007230.1)". It matches the Rfam family "Small nucleolar RNA SNORD116". From Rfam's summary of the family: HBII-85 is a member of the C/D class of snoRNAs, which contain the C (UGAUGA) and D (CUGA) box motifs. HBII-85 is encoded in a tandemly repeated array with another C/D snoRNA, HBII-52, in the Prader-Willi syndrome (PWS) region of chromosome 15. The record is from Rfam by way of RNAcentral. Lineage: Eukaryota; Metazoa; Chordata; Mammalia; Artiodactyla; Monodontidae.
GGAUCGACGAUGACUCCCACAAAUGCAUUCCUUGGAAAUCUGAACAAAAUGACUGAGAAAACCCUAAGCCUACCAUCUUCUCAUUGGAACUGAGGUCC